AUUGUAUUCUGAUGAGGUUAACCAAAAUCAAAAUAUCAGUUCUUAUCAGAUUAAUCUCUGGUACGACUUCUAUGGGAAGUCAAGUAGAUAAAAACUGAUUUUUUGGAAAAGGAAGGUGUGCUAGGGCUUCUUCCAACUCUGACGCAGGUUGAAAACAAAAUUGACGCGUUCAUGUUCUUUUGGAGUUUUUUC
This is a small nuclear RNA of Cimex lectularius (bed bug), 192 nucleotides long. RefSeq annotates it as U2 spliceosomal RNA. NCBI's taxonomy places the organism in Eukaryota, Metazoa, Arthropoda, Insecta, Hemiptera, Cimicidae. The record is from RefSeq and is a predicted model, not a curated record. The transcript has a single exon.